ACUUUGAAAUUGGAGGGACUGAGCACGCAAAUAGCCCAUCUACAGAAAACGCGCGGAUCCUCCCCCUGGGUCGGGUCACCGCGCGGGUCAGAGACCAAAACGACGCCGUUUUGGUCUCUGAACCCUAAACUCAAAAACGACGCCGUUUUGCAGGGUAGUUAAACCCAAAUUUUCUGAAAAAAUCACUUCAGCCACCAAAGAAAGAAAAAAAAAUUGAAACACAAAAAAAAACUCCCUCCUCCUCUCAAUGGUCCGGCCUUUGGGUCAUUCCUGCGCCGCCGUUGCGCCACCACGGGCGGUGGCCGGCCUCGCGCAAUAGGGGCGUUCUAGACCCGAUUUUAGACCCAAUCAAAGGCUUGACCCAUUUAACCCGAAGGCCAAAUGGAAGGGCCCUCCAACUCGACCUUUCGGGGCCGAUUUCCUCGACGGACAGACUCCGACGGCGGCGCGAUGCAGGUAAAAAUACUUCCUUUUCGAUUUUUUUUAAGAAAAGAAAUCAAAAUAAAUAAAAAAAAAUAUGAAAAGUAAAAGAAAAAAAAACAGGUAAAAUCACCUUCCAAACUUUUUUGCUUUUGAUUUCUGAAAGUGUUGGUAAAAAAGGUAGGGGAAGCCGAACCCCUUACACUGAUAUUCUUUGGCUUUUUAUAGCCCAAAAAUUACAUGUUUUUCUAUUAUUUUUCUAUUUUUCUUCUGUUGUUUGGUUGCUUUCUUUGUUUUCUUCCUUGCCGGUGAUGGCGCAAGUGGAGGGUCGACGUGACUGCGGGCGGCGACGACGUGACCGUGGCGACGUCAGAAGGCCAAGGGUCAGAAUGCUAGGGGCGGCGCCUAGGGUUUCAGAGACUGAAACCCUAGGCAGAUUUUUAGUUGGGAUUGGGCCAUUGGGUAUUUUGAUGGGCUAGGUUUGCUGGGUUUAGGUGGGUUUGGGUCUGAUUUUAGGUUAAUGGGCCUGGUUUAGUUUGGGUGAGGCCCGGGCUAAAUUUGGGCUGUACAGCAAGCUUUCUAAGAUUUUUAAUUAGUUGGUAUGAUACUUUAUGUGGAACCUUUCUCCUCAUAAUGUAAUGCCAACUAAGUCCUUUAAAAGUGCCUUAAAUAAAGGUUUAUGGAUAGAAGAGAAGGUAGAGGUGAAUCCUUAACUUAGCUAAUUAUGAGUAACUAAUUAAAAAACAACCACUUUCAGCAAAUAAUAAAUUAAUUGAAUGUGUUAUAACUAACACCAGAAUCGAUCGAAGAGACACCUUGUACUGUCCGGAUGAUUAUUCGGUGAUUGAUUAUCCAUGUGCCUCGUAUCCUCCACGAAAAGAAUUGUUCAUAAAACCUUAACGCGCUAAGCUCUUGACCUCCUCUACCCGAGUCCCUCUACUUUUCUAACUCUCGACCUUAAAAUGGAUGAACUGACUUUCUUCGACACCACCCCUCUCUGUCUUCUUUGCUCUCAUUGGUACCACACAUCAACAAAAUGCUAGCUAGAUAAAUGCUUGCUUUAAACAAGAUUCUUCCAAAAGAAAUGGGUGUUUGAAUAAUUAGUUGUUAUUAAUUAUUUGAAGAUGCUUCAAUUUUAAUCCAUUAUUUGAUUAUUACAUGCUAGAGUUGAAUGUAAGGUUUCGACCAUCAUUAUACAUAAAUGUCUUUGUUUUUAAGAUUGUAAGUUAUGUUAAAACGAGAUUUGGAUAGGUGUUGGAUGUGAUAGUACAUUUAAAACAAGUAUAUUUAAAAAUAUGAAAAAUCUAUGAAUAUAUAAUAUAAUAAGGUCUAAUCAUGAAAACUCAUUUAUCCAUAAUUGAAAUUCAUGGAUAGAUGUAACCAUGGCAUGGGUUUAUCAAAUGAAUAAGAAUGAACAAAGUCGAUUUGACCAAGUCUCUUUUCUCUUUAUUCCAAGGCAUGGGGCAUUGCCUUGGCUUAGUUGCUUUAUACUUGCACCAAAGCUUGCCUUUUAUUUUAAUUAUUUUUAAUGGAAAGUGGGAUUAAUUUAUUAUGCACAAAUCAUUAUCAAAGCUUUGAAAAUUUUCCACCCAUUUUUGAAAACAAUCUUUUUAUCCUUUAAAUACUUUAUCCAUUUUUGAAAACAAUUUUUCAUAUGUUUUUUAUAUAUUAUUUUUAUUUUUAACGUUAACAAGGUAAACAACAAAAUAUUAAAAUUAAUAAAAUUUUAUUUUAAAAAACAAAGUUAUUUUUUGGAAUAUGUAACUUUAUUUUUCAAGUAUUUAUUUCAUUAAAUAAAAAAUAAUGUAUUAAUUUUUAAUAUUUAUAGAUUAAAUUAUUGUUAUCUAUUAAAAUUGAAUAUUUUAAAUAUUUUUUCGUAUUAAGUUAUAUUUCCAAAUCGUCAAAAUUAAUCUUAAGUGGUAAAUUCUAUUUAAAAAUACAAAAGUUGACGGUAAAAUUUAAUGAAGUUCUAAGAUUAGUAGUAAAAUUAGGUUAAGUGGAAGUUUACUCAUAUUUUCGAAAUGUAAUGACAAAUAUUAAUGAAAAUAAAGUAUAAUGACAAAUUUUAAUAUUUAUGAUGACAAAUUUACCCUUAAAAUCAUAUAAAUACAUUAUAUAUCCAUACUUGCAUCAUUCGUAAUUUAAUUACGACUAUUACUGUGUUUCUAAGAAAAAAGAUACAAGAGAUCAUCCAAGUAGAAAAAUGACAAAAACAUGAAAUAUGCAAAAACAUAUUAUGACUCUCUGGACGGUGUUUGUGGUGCGAUGGAAUUUUUUACUUUGUAGCUAUAUUUAUUAAUUUUAUCGUCACUGUUAUUUUUAAUCUUACCGGAGGUAAACACACCGACCAUCCAAAGGCACCCUAUAUCUCCAUAUUGUAUAUUUUUUAUGCCCUUUUCUGUCUUUAAAUGAUGAAAUAAAUAAAUCUUUAACCCUUAACUUUGUGAUUAAUUAUGUACAAAUCAAAUAAAAUUAUGUGUUAUUUGAUAAAUUGAAAAAUUAAGUACUAAAAAAAAUUUUAAUGUUGACUUUUUAGUACUGAAUUUUGUAAGUAUUAAAUUUAUUUUAUAAAAUUAUUUGGUAUAAUGGUAAAAAAAUAAGUAUUGAAUAUAUUAUGUUGUUUGAUAAAAGAAAAUAUUGAUUUUUGAAAAUUAAUUAUUUUGUAAAUUUAGUCUUAUUAAUAUAAUAUUUUAAAUUAUUUUGGAUAGUUUUGGAUAAAUAUAACAAAUUGAAUAUUUUAUUUUUCAAUAAAAAUAGAUCAUUUAUCUUAAAUAUGAUUUGUUAUAUGAUAAGUGCUAAAAAUAACAUGUUUUAACCUCAUUCUUAAUGCAUUUUUGGGUGAUUAUUCGAUGUUAAUUGUGAACUUUAUGCUCCUAAUAGUUAAAAUUCAUGUUUUGAUGUUUAAUAGAGCACUUGGAAGCAAAAAGAGCGAAAAACGAGUGAAAGUCGAAUCAUCAGAGCAAGCUACAGGAGCCACACGAGCUGAACUAUUCCACACGGGUGUGUGAUAGAUUGUGUCGAUUUCACGAAAUUGUGCUUUGCAUAGCAAAAAAUCACGAUUUUUAGGUUUUUCAGGUAUUCUAAGACAUAUAUAUGACAAAAAUAAUAAUAUAGGAGAGAGUCAUCAAAGAAUAUUCAAGAAAACAACUCGAAAAACACCAUUGAAGAUUCUCAUUUGAUUUCUUAGAAAGUUAUUAUUAGUUUCUUUAGUUCUUUCAGUUAUAUUGUCUUGGAUGUUUUUAUUUUUAAGUAUGAACUAAUUUUCUAAAUACUUAAGGAGAUGAACCCUAUGAUAGAUUCUGUCAUUUGAUUUUUAUUUUACGCAAUAAAUAUUUAGUUUCUUGUUCUCAA
Molecule: long non-coding RNA, 3771 nt
Filed under: Gossypium raimondii (Peruvian cotton)
Lineage: Eukaryota; Viridiplantae; Streptophyta; Magnoliopsida; Malvales; Malvaceae
Description: long non-coding RNA (GRAI_LNC006103)
Source: RNAcentral